CUAGAAUUUUUAAUUCAAUUGUUGCCAUGGAAAGGUUAUCCAAUUCCAUUUUCAUUUUCUUUUUUGGGUACAAAACGACAAGAUUUCCCUUCUCCGAUGACAAAUUUUGUAUUACCAAUUUCUCAAUUUCCUUUCCAUUUUCUUUGUGAAAAAUACCAUGCAGGAGUGGAUCUAAAAGGGAAAUGCAUCAAAGACUAUCAAGG
This 203-nucleotide unclassified non-coding RNA is filed under the name Hevea brasiliensis (rubber tree). The record is from RNAcentral. Lineage: Eukaryota; Viridiplantae; Streptophyta; Magnoliopsida; Malpighiales; Euphorbiaceae.